Molecule: ribosomal RNA, 432 nt
Filed under: uncultured bacterium
Lineage: Bacteria
Description: partial 16S ribosomal RNA
Rfam family: Bacterial small subunit ribosomal RNA
Source: RNAcentral
ACGAACGCUGGCGGCCUGCCUCACACCUGCCAGUCGCACGAGACCUUCGGGUCUAGUGGCGCACGGGUGCGUAACGCGUGGGAACCUGCCCUUAGGUUCGGAAUAACUCCCCGAAAGGGGUGCUAAUACCGGAUAAUGUCUUCGGACCAAAGAUUUAUCGCCUUUGGAUGGGCCCGCGUUGGAUUAGCUAGUUGGUAGGGUAAAAGCCUACCAAGGCGACGAUCCAUAGCUGGUCUGAGAGGAUGAUCAGCCACACUGGGACUGAGACACGGCCCAGACUCCUACGGGAGGCAGCAGUGGGGAAUAUUGGACAAUGGGCGAAAGCCUGAUCCAGCAAUGCCGCGUGAGUGAUGAAGGCCUUAGGGUUGUAAAGCUCUUUUACCCGGGAUGAUAAUGACAGUACCGGGAGAAUAAGCGCCGGCUAACUCCGUG